GAUGAACGCUGGCGGCGUGCUUAACACAUGCGGGUCGAACGGGAAACCUUUUAAUGAAGCUUCGGCAGAUUUAGCUGGUUUCUAGUGGCGGACGGGUGAGUAACGCGUGGGUAACCUGCCUUAUACAGGGGGAUAACAGUCAGAAAUGACUGCUAAUACCGCAUAAGCGCACAGGGCCGCAUGGUCCGGUGUGAAAAACUCCGGUGGUAUAAGAUGGACCCGCGUUGGAUUAGCUUGUUGGUGGGGUAACGGCUCACCAAGGCGACGAUCCAUAGCCGGCCUGAGAGGGUGAACGGCCACAUUGGGACUGAGACACGGCCCAGACUCCUACGGGAGGCAGCAGUGGGGAAUAUUGCACAAUGGGGGAAACCCUGAUGCAGCGACGCCGCGUGAAGGAAGAAGUAUCUCGGUAUGUAAACUUCUAUCAGCAGGGAAGAUAGUGACGGUACCUGACUAAGAAGCCCCGGCUAACUACGUG
RNAcentral lists this ribosomal RNA (478 nucleotides) under uncultured bacterium. RNAcentral's name for it is "partial 16S ribosomal RNA". It matches the Rfam family "Bacterial small subunit ribosomal RNA", at positions 28 to 507 of the family's 1533-position model. The record is from RNAcentral.